GAUGAACGCUGGCGGCGUGCCUAAUACAUGCAAGUCGAGCGAACGGACGAGAAGCUUGCUUCUCUGAUUUUAGCGGCGGACGGGUGAGUAACACGUGGAUAACCUACCUAUAAGACUGGGAUAACUUCCGGAAACCGUAGCUAAUACCGCAUAAUAUUUUGAACCGCAUGGUUCAAAAGUGAAAGACGGUCUUGCUGUCUCUUAUAGAUUGAUCCGCGCUGCAUUAGCUAGUUGGUAAGGUAACGGCUUACCAAGGCAACGAUGCAUAGCCGACCUGAGAGGGUGAUCGGCCACACUGGAACUGAGACACGGUCCAGACUCCUACGGGAGGCAGCAGUAGGGAAUCUUCCGCAAUGGGCGAAAGCCUGACGGAGCAACGCCGCGUGAGUGAUGAAGGUCUUCGGAUCGUAAAACUCUGUUAUUAGGGAAGAACAUAUGUGAAAGUAACUGUGAACAUCUUGACGGUACCUAAUCAGAAAGCCACGGCUAACUACGUG
This 497-nucleotide ribosomal RNA is filed under the name uncultured bacterium. RNAcentral describes it as "partial 16S ribosomal RNA". It matches the Rfam family "Bacterial small subunit ribosomal RNA", at positions 28 to 507 of the family's 1533-position model. The record is from RNAcentral.